GAUGGAUGAGGUGAUGGGGUCCACCUCAAUUAACCGCUCGUGUACGAGCUGAUGACUCCUACUAAUCU
RNAcentral lists this non-coding RNA (68 nucleotides) under Methanosphaerula. RNAcentral describes it as "Candidatus Methanosphaerula Fluoride sequence". It matches the Rfam family "Fluoride riboswitch aptamer (crcB RNA motif)". The record is from RNAcentral. RNAcentral also lists the same sequence under 1 other name. Lineage: Archaea; Methanobacteriati; Methanobacteriota; Methanomicrobia; Methanomicrobiales; Methanoregulaceae.